This 26-nucleotide non-coding RNA is filed under the name Mus musculus (house mouse). The record is from RNAcentral. Lineage: Eukaryota; Metazoa; Chordata; Mammalia; Rodentia; Muridae.
UAAUUCUCUUGGUAUUUGCCACUUCC